This 106-nucleotide small RNA is filed under the name Marmota monax (woodchuck). Lineage: Eukaryota; Metazoa; Chordata; Mammalia; Rodentia; Sciuridae. The record is from RNAcentral.
GCUGGGCAUGGUGGUGCAUGCCUGUAAUCUCAGCUACUCAGAAGGCUGAGUCAGGAAGAUGGCAAGGUCUACACUAGCCUCAGCAACUGGACAAGACCUGUCUCAA